UACGUAGGGGGCAAGCGUUGUCCGGAAUCAUUGGGCGUAAAGAGCGCGUAGGCGGUCCGGUAAGUCCGCUCUGAAAGUCCGGGGCUCAACCCCGGGAGGCGGGCGGAUACUGUCGGGCUAGAGUCCGGAAGAGGCGAGUGGAAUUCCUGGUGUAGCGGUGAAAUGCGCAGAUAUCAGGAGGAACACCGAUGGCGAAGGCAGCUCGCUGGGACGGUACUGACGCUGAGGCGCGAAAGCGUGGGUAGCAAACAGG
RNAcentral lists this ribosomal RNA (253 nucleotides) under uncultured bacterium. RNAcentral's name for it is "partial 16S ribosomal RNA". It matches the Rfam family "Bacterial small subunit ribosomal RNA", at positions 524 to 776 of the family's 1533-position model. The record is from RNAcentral.